UGGGGAAUCUUGCGCAAUGGCCGAAAGGCUGACGCAGCGACGCCGCGUGUGGGAUGACGGCCUUCGGGUUGUAAACCACUGUCGGAAGGGACGAAUGGCCCGCAAGGGCAGUGACGGUACCUUCAAAGGAAGCACCGGCUAACUCCGUGCCAGCAGCCGCGGUAAUACGGAGGGUGCGAGCGUUGUCCGGAAUCACUGGGCGUAAAGGGCGCGUAGGCGGCCCGGUAAGUAGGGGGUGAAAUCUUGCGGCUUAACCGCAAGGCUGCCUUCUAGACUGCCAGGCUCGAGCACAGUAGAGGCAGGUGGAAUUCCCGGUGUAGCGGUGGAAUGCGUAGAGAUCGGGAAGAACAUCAGUGGCGAAGGCGGCCUGCUGGACUGUAGCUGACGCUGAGGCGCGACAGCGUGGGGAGCAAACAGG
RNAcentral lists this ribosomal RNA (418 nucleotides) under uncultured bacterium. RNAcentral's name for it is "bacterial SSU rRNA". It matches the Rfam family "Bacterial small subunit ribosomal RNA", at positions 355 to 776 of the family's 1533-position model. The record is from RNAcentral. RNAcentral also lists the same sequence under 1 other name.